Molecule: ribosomal RNA, 293 nt
Filed under: uncultured bacterium
Lineage: Bacteria
Description: partial 16S ribosomal RNA
Rfam family: Bacterial small subunit ribosomal RNA
Source: RNAcentral
GUGCCAGCAGCCGCGGUAAUACGUAGGGUCCGAGCGUUGUCCGGAUUUAUUGGGCGUAAAGAGCUCGUAGGCGGCUCAGUAAGUCGGAUGUGAAAACUCGGGGCUCAACCCCGAGACGCCAUCCGAUACUGCUGUGGCUCGAAUCUGGUAGGGGAGCACGGAAUUCCUGGUGUAGCGGUGAAAUGCGCAGAUAUCAGGAGGAACACCGGCGGCGAAGGCGGUGCUCUGGGCCAGUAUUGACGCUGAGGAGCGAAAGCGUGGGUAGCAAACAGGAUUAGAUACCCUGGUAGUCC